RNAcentral lists this ribosomal RNA (460 nucleotides) under uncultured bacterium. RNAcentral describes it as "partial 16S ribosomal RNA". It matches the Rfam family "Bacterial small subunit ribosomal RNA", at positions 338 to 795 of the family's 1533-position model. The record is from RNAcentral.
CCUACGGGUGGCAGCAGUGAGGAAUAUUGGUCAAUGGGCGUAAGCCUGAACCAGCCAAGUCGCGUGAGGGAUGAAGGUUCUAUGGAUCGUAAACCUCUUUUAUAAGGGAAUAAAGUGUGGGACGUGUCCUAUUUUGUAUGUAUCUUAUCAAUACGGAUCGGCUAACUCCGUGCCAGCAGCCGCGGUAAUACGGAGGAUCCGAGCGUUAUCCGGAUUUAGUGGGUGUAAAGGGUGCGUAGGCGGCCUUUUAAGUGUGCGGUGAAAGUCUGUGGCUCAACCAUAGAAUUGCCGUUGAAACUGGGGGGCGUGAGUGAGUGAGAAGUAGGCGGAAUGCGUGGUGUAGCGGUGAAAUGCAUAGAUAUCACGAAGAACUCCGAUUGCGAAGGCAGCAUACCGGCGCUCAACUGACGCUGAUGCACGAAAGUGUGGGUAGCGAACAGGAUUAGAUACCCCUGUAGUC